UGCUGGAUAGCUCAGAGCGUAAAGCACGAGACUCUUAAUCUCAGAGUUGUGGGUUCGAGCCCCUCAUUGGGCAA
Molecule: non-coding RNA, 74 nt
Organism: Podarcis lilfordi (Lilford's wall lizard)
Lineage: Eukaryota; Metazoa; Chordata; Lepidosauria; Squamata; Lacertidae
Source: the annotation of a GenBank genome assembly